GUUAUAACCGCCGAUUGAAUUUCCGUCUGACUUAAUAAUAAAGUGAAAACGCUUUGCACAAACUGGAUUACUGCUCCAACCAACGACUCGGCACUGGUCGCAAUAAACGGAUCUAGAUCUAGCGACGUCUUCUUCGAUAACAUCGAGGCAGACGAUUGCCCGAGAAGAGUCCUCGUCGCCGACGUCGUUGGUGAGGUCGCCGACGCGGAAGAGGAUCUGCCACGUCAACGGCGACGUCUUCUUCGAUUACAUCGAGGCAGACGAUUGCCGGAGAAGAGUCCUCGUCGCCGACGUCAUUGGUGAGGUCGCCAACGCGGAAGAGGAUAUGCCACGUCAGCAGGUGAGGAAACAACGACGAAGGCGGCGGUAAGAGCGCGUGCUUCGACAAAAACGCCUUUACCGUCGUCCUGAACGGUUCGUUAAUACCACCGGUUAUACUGCCGACGUCGGG
RNAcentral lists this long non-coding RNA (451 nucleotides) under Nicotiana benthamiana. RNAcentral's name for it is "long non-coding RNA (NBEN_LNC029950)". Lineage: Eukaryota; Viridiplantae; Streptophyta; Magnoliopsida; Solanales; Solanaceae. The record is from RNAcentral.